Asanoa hainanensis is the source of this 74-nucleotide transfer RNA. It matches the Rfam family "tRNA". From Rfam's summary of the family: Transfer RNA (tRNA) molecules are approximately 80 nucleotides in length. Their secondary structure includes four short double-helical elements and three loops (D, anti-codon, and T loops). The record is from Rfam. Lineage: Bacteria; Bacillati; Actinomycetota; Actinomycetes; Micromonosporales; Micromonosporaceae.
CGGGACGUGGCGCAGCUUGGUAGCGCACUUGACUGGGGGUCAAGGGGUCGUGGGUUCGAAUCCCGCCGUCCCGA